AAUGUCAACUGUCAGUCGUUGUCAAAAUGUUGAACAGCUGAAGUCAGAGAUACGGAAAAGUUAUUUUUAUUCGGAAAAUCGGAUUGUUUUUCAGUGUAAUUAUUUAAUAUAAUAUCAAAAUGUGUAGUCUAUCUUCUCGUCUGUUAAAGUUUCCAGCGGAAUUCGCUGCAAUACGCAAAGUUACAUGCAUACCAACAUCAAGAGUUCUGGCAGUAACAGCAAAUGAUACAUUUGAUUUACAGAGGAAGUAUUAUUAUACCGACAGGAAUUAUGAGCAGCACGGGAGUAAAUAUUCUUACAAGCACUUUUGCUUAUCUGUAUUAUUCGGCGCCGCGGCAUAUGUCUCGUACAAGUACUGGGCACAGCACCAGUUAUUGCCAUCAAUAAAUGCUGCAGAAGAAUUAUCUGAGAGUGAAUCUGACAGUGAAGUUGACACUAAGAAGAAAAGAUAUAGGAAAGAAAAAAUUGGUUUUCGUGACAGAAAGAUUAUUGAAUAUGAAAAUCGUAUGAGGUCAUACUCAACCCCAGAUAAAAUAUUUAGGUACUUUGCCACAGUGAAAUUGACUCUUGGUGAACAUACAGAGAUAUACAUGACUCCUGAUGACUUUUUACGAGCUAUCACACCCGGCAUGAAACAGCCUGAUGGUUUGGGACUGGACCAGUAUAGAAGAUAUGACCCCAAAAGGGAGCAGAUACUCUUCAAGAAGAAUAAAGAAAGUUUACAAAAAAGCAUCAGUCAACGUCUCAACCUCGACUUGGACGAAGAUUCGAUUUUCUAUAAACUCGGCUCUUCCGGACUCAUUACGUUCAGUGACUACAUAUUUCUUCUGACUGUAUUGUCAACAUCUCGCCGCCAUUUUGAAAUAGCGUUCCGUAUGUUCGAUUUGAACGGAGACGGUGACGUGGACUGCGAGGAGUUUGAGAAGGUUGCGGCUCUCAUUCGACAGCAGAGCAGCAUUGGGUCUAGACAUCGAGAUCACGCGAACACGGGGAACACUUUCAAGGGUAUCAACUCAGCGUUAACAACAUACUUCUUCGGACCUCAUCUCAACCAGAAGCUGACUAUCGAAAAGUUCUUAGACUUCCAGCAUCAAUUACAAAAAGAAAUAUUGUCUCUCGAGUUCCAAAGAAAACAACCUGAUGAAAAUGGUCGUAUUACGGAGGCGGACUUUGCAGAACUUCUGUUGGCCUACGCUGGCUACCCGGCUAAAAAGAAGGCGCGUAUGUUGAAACGUGUCAAAAAGACUUUCCGAGACCAUGGCAUCGGUAUAACCAAGGACGAUUAUCUGAAGUUCUUCCACUUUUUGAACAACAUCAAUGACGUGGACACGGCGCUUACAUUCUACCACAUAGCGGGCGCGUCCAUAGACCAGCCAACUCUACGCCACGUCGCCAGGACAGUCGCACAUGUGGACCUAAGCCCUCACGUCAUCAACGUCGUCUUCACUAUAUUUGAUGAAAACAUGGACGGUCAGCUCAGCAACAGGGAAUUCGUCGCAGUCAUGAAGAACAGAUUGCUUCGUGGUUUAGAGAAGCCGAAAGACACAGGUUUCGUCAAAUUAAUGUAUUCCCUUAUCAAAUGUGCGAGGGACACCAAACCGGCGAUACUUGACUUUUAAAGGUAUUCUUAGACAAUUUUUCUUCUAAAAUAUAUUUAAUUACGGGAGGGGAUCGACAGUUAAGAAGAAAUCUUGGAUUAUGCCUCAAGUAUGUCGUAAUGUCAUCAAAUGGACUUGAAGAUAAGAGUUGCCAUUUUGCCUUGAAAUAACUGUUGAGUAACAGCGGUUUCAUUAGAAAAAGUCUACAUGUUUUCCUGUGCUAUACCAAAGUAUUCUUGUUUCUAAAUUAAAUCAUGUAUUAAAAAUAUAAUGAAAUGAUAAACGUAAGGUCAGGUUACACAAAGUUCCUUGCGCAAUGGUUUUUGUUUUAGCGCAAGAAAGAACUGCGCAAAAAAGUUACCUAGGGAAUAUGGAAUAAUAGAUAUGUAUUUUACUCGACUGCCAAGAAAGAUGUAAACUGUACAUACACUUUAUUUACCAGCAUUUUCUUAUAUCGACUUAAGACAAAAAACAACAAAUACAAUAUGUUUUCAAUAUCUAACAGAUGGACUACAUAGAUGUUUCUGUUAUGUUCCCUGUUAUAAUAUAAGUACAAUUACGAUACUGUUUGCCGUUUUUAUAAUAAUAUUACAUAAAAUUUAAUACGCCUGCACUGUUUAUAAAAUUAAAAAGCUUUCCGCACUAAAUAAUAAUUCACAUUACUUAAAUACCAGUUCAUAAAAUUCUUUUUUCAAAAUCAAAGAAUGUAGUUCCUAUUUUUUCAUUUAAAUUAACGAAUUAAAAUGGCGUCUUCGUCAAAGUAUUUGCGCAAUUAUUGCGCUAGUGAAAGUUUUACGCAUAAAAUGGAAGCAUUAUUUGUUGUUAUUUUCUCAUGUAAAUUAUGAAUAUUAUCUUCAUUGCACAAACAGUGAUUGAUCUAUACUCUAUAGAUAGUACCAAAUGAUCUGUAUUUAACGAAUCAAUUAAUUUAAUCCUGUUUUAUUUAUAAUUUUAUAUUAAAUUAAAUUAUUUAAGCUCUCUAUUCUGGUCAUAUUAGUUACAUAUUUUUUUAGUUAUUGAUUUUAUGAAUAAGUAAGUUACUUGACUGAACUUUAGUUAAAAUAACAACGUUUUAAUUUUAUUGUGUUCAAAAACCUAAUAUUCUGUUAGUGAAAUUAGUUGGCGAUGUCAAACACUAUUUCGUGAAUUCAUUGUAAAAAUAUUAUAAAAUAUUAUUUUGUAAAAUUAGCAUAUAUUUAUUAAUGUUGAAAUAGAUGUUAUUUUAGUUGUAUCAUGUAUAGAAUUUAUAAUUGUUUCAGUGAAUAUCUUGUAUGUAUAUAUGUAUUGUUUAUUUUGAUCAAAAUCAAGUAAUUGUUGGAUAUUUUUUAUUGUGUAUUUACUACUAAACUACAGUACCGUAAAACAUGGCAACUUUACCAUAUUUUGGAACAAAAAUCGAAAUAUAUUUUUAACCAUAAGACGCAUAGAAACCAAAACUAUAUAUUUAGAAUUGUAGUCUAUCUGGCUCACUUUACUGUAAGCGUCAUUAUAUACAAACGCUUACUUUAGCCGUAGUAAAGAAAAAACAACAUGGGUAAAGAUACCAAAUUUUUGGCAACUUUACCUACGCGCCGUAUUCAUCGUGUAUUGCAUAUUAAAGAGUUGUUGAGGUACAGAGGGCUUCAUCUAGGACCU
This is an RNA transcript of Spodoptera frugiperda (fall armyworm), 3233 nucleotides long. It is a transcript of the gene named calcium uptake protein 1 homolog, mitochondrial-like, with no coding region annotated. The transcript is spliced from 12 exons. The record is from RefSeq and is a predicted model, not a curated record. NCBI's taxonomy places the organism in Eukaryota, Metazoa, Arthropoda, Insecta, Lepidoptera, Noctuidae.